Molecule: long non-coding RNA, 417 nt
Organism: Notothenia coriiceps (black rockcod)
Lineage: Eukaryota; Metazoa; Chordata; Actinopteri; Perciformes; Nototheniidae
Exons: 3
Source: RefSeq, a predicted model, not a curated record
CAUUUUUCACAAUUUAUUUUGCAGAGAGUAACAGACCACUGAUGUCCCUGGGAAACAAGACGUUAAAAUCACUAAAGUGUGUAAUUGACACUGAAAAGCAGAUGUUGGUGUUUGGGACGGUGGUGAGGGAGCAACUUCAUUUUGCCAAACAGCCGUUCAAUGAAAGUUCUCCUGAUUUCAGACACCUGUGACAUUAACAACAACUAAACAUACCUACCAAAAGCAAUACAACAAUUUACUGUUAAAACUAGAUGCCUAAUUAGGUAACUCUCAUAAACUUCUCACCCUAUUCCUUCUCACUUUCUCUCUUUGCCUUUACAGUCAGAUAAUCCACCCUCACUUUACUUAUUUUUACACGAAGGCAGCGGUUUAUUAACUACAUGGUUUUUAGCUGACGCUUUUAUCCAAAGCGACGUA